GGAAUCGCUAGUAAUCGCGGAUCAGCAUGCCGCGGUGAAUACGUUCCCGGGCCUUGUACACACCGCCCGUCGCACCAUGAGAGUUGGAAAUACCCGAAGCCUGUGAGCUAACUUAAAGAGGCAGCAGUCGAAGGUAGAGCCAAUGAUUGGGGUGAAGUCGUAACAAGGUACC
Molecule: ribosomal RNA, 172 nt
Filed under: uncultured bacterium
Lineage: Bacteria
Description: partial 16S ribosomal RNA
Rfam family: Bacterial small subunit ribosomal RNA
Source: RNAcentral